UCUCCGUAGGUGAACCUGCGGAGGGAUCAUUACAGAGUUCUCGCCCUCACGGGUCGAUCUCCCACCCACUGUUAUCGUUACCGUCGUUUCUUUGGCGGGCCGCCGGGUCCCCGGCCGCCGGCGCCUAGCUGCCGGCGCGCGCCCGCCAGAGGCCUUCAAACUCCGAAUGUUAGUGUCGUCUGAGUACUAUAUAAUAGUUAAAACUUUCAACAACGGAUCUCUUGGUUCUG
Molecule: unclassified non-coding RNA, 230 nt
Filed under: plant metagenome
Description: partial contains small subunit ribosomal RNA, internal transcribed spacer 1, and 5.8S ribosomal RNA
Source: RNAcentral